Lolium perenne is the source of this 6382-nucleotide long non-coding RNA. RefSeq lists it as uncharacterized. NCBI's taxonomy places the organism in Eukaryota, Viridiplantae, Streptophyta, Magnoliopsida, Poales, Poaceae. The record is from RefSeq and is a predicted model, not a curated record.
CAAACACGGCCGCGUACAGGUAAUCUCGUGCCUAGCCUAGGUGUCUACACGUCGACGGAAAUGACACGAACCUAACCCAACACAUCGUUCUUCAAGCCAAAGAAAUCAUUACCCAACACCAGAACCCUCGCCCCCCAAGCUCGUUCACCUCCUUGAUCGAUUGGUGCCAACAUCUCAUCACGCACGCUAGUGAUGGCUUCCGCGGCAGGAAGCGAUGGGGCGACGAGGAGGAGGGCGGUGAGGCGGCUGAACUUUGGGGGGGGGGUCGUGGGACGACAAGGAGGAGGCAGCGGCGGAGAUCGGGAGGCUGGCGUGCUCCAAGAGCGGCCGAAGCAGGUGCUCCUGGAGAUCGGUGUCGUACCGACGCUCUGUCCAUGCUUGUGAACGCGCGGGGGAGGGUGGAGGAGGCGCGCGGAUGGCCGCGGUCAGGGCGCUGCUCGAGCUCGCCAGAGGAAUGCACAGAUCGAGGUUGGAGUCAGAAAGAGAUGUUCAAGGAAGGAUGUGGGGGAAAAAAGCAUAAACAAUCAGUAUUGUGGCCUGCAACCUUCAUGGCGACCCAUGUCCUCCACUCCAGGUCUGGACACCGCGCUCAAGAUUCCUCUGCUCCUAUCCUGUGUUUUUUUUUUCGAGGGCUCUCCUAUCCUGUGUAAGUUGACGCGAUGGUAGGCCGCCAGCCACCAGCUUGGCUUGACGUCCCCAUCCGUUUGUGUGGCCACAGCUAAGCAUCUCCCUCUGGUGCGGCUUGAUGGGGACGACAACGCCGCACGGGGCGGAGGCGGUGCUGCUUCCGGUGAGGACGACGACGCAAUAUCAGGGGUUAUGUUGACAAAUAACAUAACAUAUGAAAAUUAUUUUAAUUUUUUUUUGCUCGAUAUUGUUUUCCAUACAGGUAAAUAUAGUUGAGUAACUCAACUUUGGAGCUAAUCAUGUGCAGUACGAUAUAUGGCUGCCACCAAUUUAUCCAUGUUUUGUAUCAACAUCCAUGUCACAGAAGGAUACAAAAAAGAUAUAGACAUAUGAGGGUGUAUGGUAAAAAAUAUGCAAGGAGUGCUCAAGUACCAUUGGAAUUUCUUUAAAACAAUGAUAAGGAAACAAUACAAAUGAAUCUACAUUUAAAUGCUUCGAAUUGAAAAAUUAGACAUGCUACACUACAUCAUUUUUUAUUGUCCUUGAACCUGGACCUCCUUCCCUAACUGCAAAUUCUUCUUAUUCUUAUCAUCACAACACUAAAUUAUAAGAUGCAGAUAUUUUUUAGAAAAUGGUGAAACCAUACAUCUUAUUUAGUUGAGGACUUCAUUUCUCCCGACCUUCAGUUUCUUCUUGGUAUCCAAAAAUCUCUCAAACUAAGGUGCAUAUACACCUGCAGCUGAUUGCCAAGAAAUACAUACUCAUCUAAAUUCCUCUUUGCAAACCUGCAACAUGACAGCACACUUACAUAAAUCAUAUAGUAAAUCUGAAUCUAACAAAAGAAAAGGCGUUAAUGAAGUAGCUUGGGUAAACUAUUAGCUCCAGAUUUGUUGUCCAAGUCCCAAGCAUGUACCACAAAAACUAAACUAAAUCAUGCCCACAAAGGACCAAGAAAUAACCCUAUAUCGUCUUCCUUUGGUUCACAACUUGGGGUAACCUGAGUAAAGCACACAGGGUCUCAGCUACGUACAUGCCCUGCCAGGGAAAGCUUCUACCGGUUGUUGGUACAACAUGGGCGCCAAAUUUUUAGGAUGUUGUUUCUAAGAUAUUCGGUCUCCCGCGGGGGUAAACAGUCUUGUAUGUAGCUUUGACCCUGACAUGGGUGCCAAAUGCCCAGUAUGAAUAUAAGAUAUAAUUGUGAUGAACGAUGAAAAUAGAUCAAUUAAGAAUUUGCCGCUUAGAAACAAUGUUUCUAGUAUUUAUGAAAUUGGAUUAAAUAUUACUUUACUGUCAAAUAAUUGGAAGCUUCAAUUAAAAAUAUGCAGCAGCCAUGAAACAGAGUAUACAAUGAAACGAAUGACUCAAGAGCGAAGCAGUGAUUUGUACCCUUUCUAGCAAACAUGCAUGUAUUGCAAAAGGUAGUUCUUUUUUAUUUUUCAUCACCGAGAUUAAACCAACUGUACACAUCAGAAAUUAAUGAUAAGAAAUCGAUUGACGAUAAUGAGAUAUAGAGAAAAUAGAGAUUCAAUGUGGCAUGCAAGGUAAAGCCAAAGCCAAAGCCAAAGACUGAACUUUCCCAAACCAUAGAAACAUUAAUGAAAAAAGGCAUGGGAUAUCUUGUUUUAGGCAAAAAUACAGUCCCAACCCUCAAUGAGCUACACAGGAAACCUCUCCAAUUACGAUGACGAAGUAACAAAAAAUAAGCUGCAAGCCUGCAACCUGACAGCCGAAAUGGGAAAAACAUAUAGGAGAAUUAUAGAGACUAUUUUGAUUUAUCAGAGAUGGUAAAAUAGUACACUCUGUGGUCAUUCAAAUGAACAAAAUAAUGGUGAACUGAACUCCAUACCAGCACAAGUAGGAACUAUAGCCAGAAGAACCACUUUUGCAUUCCAAUCAUCCUAAAUUUAUUUUAAAUGAUACAUAUUUGCUAAAUUUAGCAAAGAAUAACUCCAGCAAAGAAAACAAAGACCUCUUGGAGUGCUUUGCAAUACUCAAAUAGAGCAGAAUGCCUCGGAGCUAUUUUAGACUUCGCCUACAACUGCAGAGCACACCGAAUUGAGUUAAUUUGCUAGAGGUAUAUAGAAUAAUAUACCAAUGCAAGAACAUCGCAAUGGCCUGUUGAGCCACUCACAUCACCAUAACAUUUCAAUACUUUGGAGAAGGUGACCGACCUGUAAUGGAAACAGAGAUUCUGGUGGAGCUUGCUUGCAGGUGCCCUGUAAUGAUCAAGAAGGUAAGUAAGAAAUUACGGUUUUCAAAAUUAAGCACUGACUUGUCAUUUAUAACUCAAAUUGUCAUCGUUGAAGCUAUUCAUCAAGAAAAGCAACCAAUAAAGGGUGAUAAUUCGCAGAUAUUUAGAAGCAUUGCAAGUUUAAUGAUGUAACUUCACUUCAAUCCUCCCUCACAGCUACAAAAGUGCACAUCAUAUGUCAUUAAUCAAUCUCUUAAAUCUCACACAAUUAGGCUUCAGUGUAAGAAAAAUGGACUUCCAAUCCACAACAGUGGUAGUAGGCAAAGAUUAAUAGGUAGACCAGGAAGACAUAAUCUGCCUUGCUGCAACCACAAAUAAAUCAGGAAUAAAAAUAGACAUACCCCAUGGUGUCAGGCGAUAUAUGUAUUGCUGGUUAAAGAGCCUCUCCAGCUUGAUGGUCAAUUCCAUCAACACAGACAACAUAUCAUUAUGCCAGUAGGAUGAUAUAACUAAAUAUUGUUCUUCUAUAAAAAAAACUAUGGAAGCUUACCACCAAAUUCUUUUGUGCAUGCUGCAACCUUCAGAAGUAUAUUAACAAAUUUACUCCCUAAUAUGUAUCUCCAUCUCCGUGAUUUAUAAUAAAAGGGAUGAAAAACUACUCGAAAUGUGAAUGUUUUCAUGAAAAAAUAGCAAACACUUCAAGUGGAGGAGGAUCUCACCUGAAGGUUACGCCAUCUGCAGGCGCCAUACGAGAAGAGGAAGAUGUCAUGGCGCCAUGCAAUACUUUUAGUAGAGAUAUCCAUGGCCUCCAUCCUUUAUUUUUAGCUUGACAAUCCUUCAUAAAACUAUAAAGAAAAGGAGAACAGUGGUAAACAGUACACAUCAGUGUCCAGAGCUACCAAUCAUGUUAAAAGCAUAAAGAGUGGUCCACUUAAUAUGAGCGCAUAAGUAUGAAAACUAUUAGUUGACAUAUGGAAGCGAGGAAAAAAAAAACAGGGUAUGUACAUUAAACACAACUGUCACCCUGUUAACUCCAGAUAAGCUGCCAUUUUCUCACAACUGAAGUCGGCUUGGAAGGCAAACCCUCUUUGAGGACAACGUGAACCAGUAGACAGGCCAGACUACAAAAGGCCAUGUGGGCAUACAUGUAAACAUGUAGAUUUCAAAUUCAGAGUUCAAAAUCAGUAUCAAUUGCUAAAAUAAAAUAGUUGGAUGAUGUUAUCUCUAGGAGGAAUUUCAGUUUUCCUAUGGUAUUUAACAUAUUACUUUUUAGAUUUUAUAAGCACCAUAAGCAAAGUAGACCUUGCGAGGAUAUUUACAGGCUCAUGACAUACAGUAGUCCUAGGUGGAUUGAAAUAUCAAGUACAUUAUGGGAAAAUGUCCAUAUGUCUCUGUUUUGUCACGCUAUUUAGCAAACCACUGAAACAAAUCAGUUAUAACAAAUUUUCCGUAUAGGUAUAGAAAUAGCAGUAAACUGCGUCAAGAAAGUGUAAAGAGACAAAAUGUGAACCAGGAGGUUUACCUGGAUGCGCAAGUGGCCUUAUUCUAAUGAAUUUUCAGAUAAGGGAAUGAGGAACACCAACUCUGACAAUAAAAUCAUAGAGAAUCAUACAUCAAGAUAGAAAUGUGGAGUUUAAAAGAUAUGUAGUUCAAAGCUGAUGGUGAAGAGGCAAGGUAAGGAUCUCAUAUACCUACGGAGUGGAUAUAGAGAGGUCACCGGCAUCGACAACUUGACCUGGCCAAGGCCAACCACCUCCACACGCUGCAGGGGACCUCUGCACCUUGCACCGCAACCUUAUUUGUUUUCUUCGUAGGAAAAUGUUGGCCAUGCCCAUCGGUUUUCAUCUUUUUCUUCAGAUAAAGGUCUUCUCAUGCUAUGUCUUCUGCCAUAUUUAAUACUACCGGAAUCUGAAAUACAGUUAAUAAGUAAAAUGGAACCAUACAUCUUUUGAUAGAAUAUGGGAGAAUCUACAAGUAAUUCCUAUGUUGAAGAUAUCAUACGAUGCUACUAAAGGACACACAGUCACUAUUUCUUACGUGGUUUGUAAAUUAUAAAUGACCUGGAAAACCUGAAUUGACUUGCAGCAUAUUUUUGCAUUAUGGUAAUAUCCCCUGCCAACACUAUUUUUGAGUUCCUUCUGGCUGAAAUUGAUUAGCUUCAAAGUCACCUGUAUAAGUAUACCAAUAAUUUGAUUUAGCUUUGAAAUAUCAAAAAAUCAAUUAUCUAGUACAGAUGUUGGAGAGCUCUCACUUUUUGUCUCCUCUUUAUCCUGCAGUCGGGUUCUACUUCUUGGUCUCCGCCUCAUCUUCCACUUGCAGACUGGAAGCUGAGGACAAAGGUGACGAGGAUGGAUGUUCGGGACUGUGAGGCGGCGCGCUAGGGUUUUCACCCGCCGGUGCAGCCGCGCCGCCGACCAGAUGCAGCGGCCGCUGCUCACCACGGAGCUCCCGCUCGUCAAGCGCGCACCCCAUGGCGUUCUUCUUCUGCUCGCCCAGCGAGGCGGCCGGCAUGUGGAGGAGACCCGCUGGCGACGCGAUGGGCUACUCGCCGGCGAGGCCGAGCGCAAGAUCCGCUGGAGGCGCUAUGGGAUUUGGAGGAGGAUGCGUAGGGAUUGGGGAGAGGAGAGAGAGGAGAGGAUUGGAGGAGAUGAGAGAGGAGAGGAUUGGGGAGAGGAAAGAGUGAGGGGAAGAGAUGAGAUCGUGGGAUUGGGUGUGGAGCUGCCCAAUCAGGGUCAGCUAGGAUUUUCACCCAUAGGGAUGUGUCCUGCAUCCACCCAGGCAACUGACAAGAUGGUCCAUUUAGAAGAAGGGCCCGCGUGCAGUGACAGGUGGGUAGAACCUCACCAUUUCAUGUCUUGAUCUAGUGGGCUGUGAAAAAAUCUUAACUGAAAUGGACGGAUGAGAUGCUCUAGUUGACAAUAUCCUGUGGCUAAGAAGCUGAAAUCGCUGUGAGCUCCCCAUGGGAGGGCAUCUAUUAUACCUUUAGAUGCAGACUUAUCAUGAUGUACAGUUUCAAAGCCGAACACUAUCCACACAUCGAGAAAAGUACUUAAGUCUCCCGCGGAAUACCCACUCUCCUGUAGAUUUUCAGUGUGAAUAAUAAGUUGGAUCAUCAUCCGUGCAUAAUUUUACUCGAUCUGUAGAUUGAACUUGGAUCUGGCACCAGAACAUAUCGUAUCGAUGCUUCGCCGUUCCAACCGUUCUAACCGAUUUCCUCCGAUGGUCCGCUUUUGCUAGCAUUGCAGCUAGGUCCCACUCCCACCGCACCCCUCCUCUCGCCACGCCGGCGAUGAGCUCCUCGGCGGAACCUCCUCUCUCCGACUACCUCUCUGCUCCUGUUCCUGAGUCGGGUUUAGACAAUCACUGCAGCGAAGCUCUGCUGCAUCGUUGCAGCAACCUGUCUUCAUGAAGCUCCACACAGCCUCAGGAUUUAGACAAUCACUGAAGGGAAACUCUACUCCAUGACUGCAUCAACCUGUCUUCAUGUCAAGGUUGAGCCACCUGGUGCUGUGCGCUGCCUUCGACAUCUUCAAGUUUCCCCGCCUCUUGUGAUACUGGAUCCAG